This is a non-coding RNA of Lactuca sativa (garden lettuce), 912 nucleotides long. Lineage: Eukaryota; Viridiplantae; Streptophyta; Magnoliopsida; Asterales; Asteraceae. The record is from RefSeq and is a predicted model, not a curated record.
UUUCAAUUGCAUGCCCCUUUGGCUUCGAAAUUCAAACCUCAACUGCGUUUUCCCCCAAUUUCCCUUUGGUUUUUGCUUGAACUGAUUGAUUCAAGUCCGUUUACUGCUUGUCCAUUGCCUGCCCCUUUAGCUUUCGCCACGAUUGUGGAUUGCUGAUUGCCUGCUUUGUGUUGACCAAAUCACAAAUCUACAAUCUCUCUCUCAGACUUUUACCCGUAGUUAUCACUUUUCACUUUUGAUUGUUUUGUGAAUUAUGUUUUUUAUAUUAUGUAUUGUUUGUUUUUUGAUUUUCAGAUAAGCAAUCACUUUGCAUCAAAAGUCAAAUAACUUGCAUGAUAUAAUUAUAAUUAUGGCAGUGUUUAUACACUUGAUUUGUCUCGUGAACGAGUUAAAUAAACGCAAUUUUAUUUGUUAUACACAGGGUGCAGCUUUAGCUAUGGACGAAUCAAUCUUAUCUGAUUAUCAAGUAGAGAAUCUUAUCAAAUUUUGUCCUACUAAACAAGAAAUGGAGCUUCUCAUGAAUUUUGCAGGUAGCAGGGAGAUGCUGGAAAAAUGUGAUCUUCUUCAUUCCUGUAUUUCUAUCUUUUUAUGCAACUUUUAAUUCUCAUAAUUUUUUAAAUUUUAUUUCUGAGUUCUUCAUGGAGCUCAUGAAGGUGCCACAUGUUGGAUCAAUAUUACGAUAUUGUCUGUCAAAAAUUCAAUUUGACAUCCAGGUUUCAGAGUUUAAGAAGAGUUUAAACACAGUAAAUUCGGCAUGUGAUGAGGUUCCGACUUGUAUGAAAUUAAAGGAGGUCGAGUAUUUGGAGUUUUUUUGUAAAAAUAGGUUAGUUUUCAAAAAACAUUGUAAAAAUAGGUUAGUUUUAAAAUGUAUUGUAGAAAUAGGGUUCUUUUUAGUUGGGCCCACUCUAUUUG